Molecule: unclassified non-coding RNA, 458 nt
Filed under: Hevea brasiliensis (rubber tree)
Lineage: Eukaryota; Viridiplantae; Streptophyta; Magnoliopsida; Malpighiales; Euphorbiaceae
Source: RNAcentral
AUAUAUAUAUAUAUAUAUAUGUUAUGUCAUAAACUGAAGCACUCAUAGAAAACAAUAUUGAACAAUCAGCCAGGUGCAUCAAGAAAUUAAAUCUACAUGAACAAUCGGCAAUGUGGAUCAUAAAUUUCCCAGUCAUAAUUUGGAGAAAAAGGAGAGAAGAAGAAGAAAAAGGAACCACACUCUGGCUUUCAAUUUUACCCUCUGAAUUUCUAGUUUUCUCUGCAGCUGUAUAGUUGAAACACAAUGGAAUAAUCAUGCCAGUAAUACUGCACACAGAAAAUUUAUUCAAAGGAAAAUUUUAUAAUAUGAAGCUUGAAUAACCAGUCAACCACCAAUUGUGAAAUCAUACAAAAUACAACCUUCAGAUCUCUGUAAGUAGCAAUAAAUAUUACAAUGAAAAUGGUGAAGUAGUGGCAGUCAGGAUUUAAAACUCAUACAACUAACAGGGAGGUACUUAC